UCUGGCGACAAUAGCGCGGCGGCACUAUCCCUUCCCAUUCCGAACAGGGUCAUAAAACGCCGCGACGCCGAUGAUACUCACAAGGGAAAGUAGGUAUCGCCAGAA
RNAcentral lists this ribosomal RNA (105 nucleotides) under bacterium. The record is from RNAcentral.